Non-coding RNA from Tinamus guttatus (white-throated tinamou), 380 nucleotides. The record is from RefSeq and is a predicted model, not a curated record. NCBI's taxonomy places the organism in Eukaryota, Metazoa, Chordata, Aves, Tinamiformes, Tinamidae.
GCGGUUUGCGUUUGGCCAUCACUAUUUCCGUCCGCACGAAACGCAUCACUCCCCUUCUCGCAAGUUUUAUCACAACGAGCUCUUCCGGGUGCCGCUCUACGAAAUUAUCCCCUUGGAGGCCGUGGUGGGAACGUGCUGUGUUCUGGACCUCUACACCUACUGCAAAGGGAGGCCGAAAGGGGUGAAGGAGCAGGACGUGUACAUCUGUGAUUACCGCCUUGAUAAAUCAGCUCAUCUCUUCUACAAGAUCCACCGGAAUCGCUAUCCUGUCUGCACCAAGCCCUACGCCUUUGACCACUUCCCUAAGAAACUCACGCCCAAGAGAGACUUUUCACCCCAUUACGUACCAGACAACUACAAGAGAAAUGGAGGCAGGUGAG